RNAcentral lists this transfer-messenger RNA (350 nucleotides) under chicken gut metagenome. It matches the Rfam family "transfer-messenger RNA". From Rfam's summary of the family: Bacterial tmRNA, also known as 10Sa RNA or SsrA, is named for its dual tRNA and mRNA-like properties. Its role is to liberate the mRNA from a stalled ribosome. The record is from RNAcentral.
GGGGGCGUAAAGGUUUCGACGGGGAUCGCGAACCUUAGUAAGCGAGCAGCGGCGCGGAACCGCUUUAAAAGCCGCAAACUUUAAAAUGAAACGACAACAAUAAAGUUGCGUACGCUGCCUAAUUAAGGCAGCCGUCUUCCCCGGGAGCACCACGGCCCGGGAGAGGGCGUCGACUAGUGGUGAACGUGAACACGGCUACGCCUUUACCCGUGUCACGGCUUAAAGGCUACUGAACCGCGCAGCCUGCCGAUGGGCGGCGCGGAGAGGGAACGUCAAACCACCGGCUGCGCUCGGAGAAAGCUUUGGCGACUGAUUUUCGGACAGGGGUUCGAUUCCCCUCGCCUCCACCA